GUAAAGAAUCCCUCUGCCAAUGUAGAAGUCACAGGAGACAUGGCUUCCAUCCCUGGGUUGGGAAUAUUUCCUGGAGGAGGAACUGGCAACCCACUCCAGUAUUCUUGCAUGGGAAAUUCCAUGAACAGAGGAGCCUGGUGGGCCACAGUCCACGGGGUUGCAAAGAGUCAGGCACGUCUGAGCAACUGAGCAUGCACACCGUAGCGGGGGCAUCCUGGGCUGACCUUGUGGCCCAGAAAUGUUUCCUCUUGAGCAGAAGCACAUCAGAGAGCAGGAAGCUAGGUGGAACCAAGUGUUGGACACAGGUGAAACGAGCCUGUGCGAUGAGAAAGUGAAGUUACGAACAUACAGGUCUAUCCUCAGCCUGGCAGCUGGUGGAGAGAAGAUGGCAUCUCAAUUGUGGACUUGGACGACUCAAUUCUUCAGGGGCCCAAAGUACACACCAGAUGCCACGUUUCCACGGCCUUUAGCAGCGUGAGAACUGUUAUUCUUUCAGUGUACAUCCUCCUUGUUCAGAGCCAUCACCCCAUUCCAUCUUCAGAAUUCUUUUCAUCUUCCCCACACAAAAUUCUGUACCAAUUAAACUAUAACUUUCCAUUCCUCCAG
This is a long non-coding RNA of Bos taurus (domestic cattle), 606 nucleotides long. The record is from Ensembl. Lineage: Eukaryota; Metazoa; Chordata; Mammalia; Artiodactyla; Bovidae.